Long non-coding RNA from Megalops cyprinoides (Indo-Pacific tarpon), 1036 nucleotides. RefSeq lists it as uncharacterized. The transcript has 3 exons. Lineage: Eukaryota; Metazoa; Chordata; Actinopteri; Elopiformes; Megalopidae. The record is from RefSeq and is a predicted model, not a curated record.
CCCCGGUCACUUCGGUUUCAACAUGGAGUCAGAAAAGGAGGAGAAGAGAGGCGCGCUAGUAACUUUACCCAAACACUCGUACUGGUUUGACUUCUGGGUGUUCAUCCUCUUCGACAUCGCCUUUUUCUUGUUCAUGUAUUUUCUUGUGCCCUAACUACCAUACCGAUCCCCGAUCAACAUCGGCACACUGACGCUAACCUGAACCUAAGUGAGUGGACAAGAAGGACCAAGUGUGGCGAAGAUGAACUGGACCAACACCGGGUUUGAACGUUUCUGCCGAGGCCCAUGAACUGUCUUUGACCAGCUGCAACCCCACUGACAUUGAUAUUUAUUGAGUGUGUGCUGUUUGUUUCCUGUUACCUACAUAAUUGGCUGCAUACCAACAGUGCCUGUAACUUUCAUGACCCCCUGUCUUGAAGAAUGAGUAUUUGAGGACUUAGUUAACGCUGUUUGAUUAAAGUUAAAAUAUUCAUACUUAGGUUUGUGUGUUAAUGUAGCGAGUGCCUACCCCAUGUAUUCUCUUUGUGUGUUUGUAACCUCUUCUCUCUUUGCAAUGUCAUAAGCUCUCAUGAAAUGGGGAAGAAUAAAAAGCAACGUUGCUUGACUGGUGUGAUCAGUAUUAAGAAGGCCUGGUUGGAACAAAUGUAACUGGCUUGCCUACUGAAUUCCAGUCCUGCAUGGCUGCAUUCCAGUUCAGUCCCUACAGCUCUGCUUGAGCUAUUGACAAACCCCAUGUGCUUUCAUGCUGUUUGGAAGGAAAAGGUGCAGAUACUGUGGCCCGUUAGGGCCGUGGCCCAGCAUCUUUAUCAUAUAUGUCCCCCACUCUCAGUGCACUGCUUUCUCUGUGCAGACCUGGCAGUCUUACACCACCAGUAAUGAGCUGGCUGUGAUAGAUGCUUUUUUUUAAAUGCACAUAGCAAGUAGUUAGGCCUAUUCAAAGAAAGCCAGAAACUGUCAUAAGUCCUGUCAUAACAUUGUUGUAAUCAGAAGCUGUGAUACCCGCCAUUGUUCAAUUCACCCUAAACAUCUCAUUUAA